CCUACGGGAGGCUGCAGUGAGGAAUAUUGGUCAAUGGCCGAGAGGCUGAACCAGCCAAGUCGCGUGAGGGAAGACGGCCCUACGGGUUGUAAAACUCUUUUGUCGGGGAGCAAAGAGAGUCACGUGUGACUCCUUGAGAGUACCCGAAGAAAAAGCGUCGGCUAACUCCGUGCCAGCAGCCGCGGUAAUACGGAGGAUGCGAGCGUUAUCCGGAUUUAGUGGGUUAAAAGGGUGCGCAGGCGGAGGUGCAAGUCAGCGGUCAAAUUGCGGGGCUCAACCCCGUACUUCCGUUGAAACUGCAUCCCUUGAGUGCGCGAGAGGUAUGCGGAAUGCGUGGUGUAGCGGUGAAAUGCAUAGAUAUCACGCAGAACUCCGAUUGCGAAGGCAGCAUACCGGCGCGCAACUGACGCUCAUGCACGAAAGCGUGGGUAUCGAACAGGAUUAGAUACCCCGGUAGUC
RNAcentral lists this ribosomal RNA (459 nucleotides) under uncultured bacterium. Its description in RNAcentral is "partial 16S ribosomal RNA". It matches the Rfam family "Bacterial small subunit ribosomal RNA", at positions 338 to 795 of the family's 1533-position model. The record is from RNAcentral.